GAAGUUCGCCAGGCAAUCGCUGCGUCCCGCGCGGGCGUGGAGGAAAGUCCGGGCUUCACAGAGCAGGAUGCCGGUUAAUGGCCGGGCGCCGUGAGGCGACGGAAAGUGCAACAGAAAGCAGACCGCCGAUGGCCGCGCGCAUGAGCGGCACAGGCAAGGGUGAAACGGUAGGGUAAGAGCCUACCGCAGCGCAGGUAACUGCCGCUGGCACGGCAAACCCCAUCCGAAGCAAGGCCAAAUAGGGAAGCCAUGGCGUGGCUCGCGUCGCUUCCGGGUAGGCCGCUGGAGCGGCGCAGCAAUGCGUCGCCAAGAGGAAUGAUUGCCCGGCGGCGUGCAAACGUCGCCCGACAGAACCCGGCUUAUCGGCGGACUUCCCAC
This 378-nucleotide RNase P RNA is filed under the name Rhodocyclaceae bacterium. RNAcentral describes it as "RNase P RNA component class A". It matches the Rfam family "Bacterial RNase P class A". From Rfam's summary of the family: Ribonuclease P (RNase P) is a ubiquitous endoribonuclease, found in archaea, bacteria and eukarya as well as chloroplasts and mitochondria. Its best characterised activity is the generation of mature 5'-ends of tRNAs by cleaving the 5'-leader elements of precursor-tRNAs. The record is from RNAcentral. Lineage: Bacteria; Pseudomonadati; Pseudomonadota; Betaproteobacteria; Rhodocyclales; Rhodocyclaceae.